This 497-nucleotide ribosomal RNA is filed under the name uncultured bacterium. RNAcentral describes it as "partial 16S ribosomal RNA". It matches the Rfam family "Bacterial small subunit ribosomal RNA", at positions 28 to 507 of the family's 1533-position model. The record is from RNAcentral.
GAUGAACGCUGGCGGCGUGCCUAAUACAUGCAAGUCGAGCGAACGGACGCGAAGCUUGCUUCUCUGAUGUUAGCGGCGGACGGGUGAGUAACACGUGGAUAACCUACCUAUAAGACUGGGAUAACUUCGGGAAACCGGAGCUAAUACCGGCUGAUAUUUUGAACCGCAUGGUUCAAAAGUGAAAGACGGUCUUGCUGUCACUUAUAGAUGGAUCCGCGCUGCAUUAGCUAGUUGGUAAGGUAACGGCUUACCAAGGCAACGAUGCAUAGCCGACCUGAGAGGGUGAUCGGCCACACUGGAACUGAGACACGGUCCAGACUCCUACGGGAGGCAGCAGUAUGGAAUCUGCCGCAAUGGUCGAAAGCUUGACGGAGCAACGGCGCGUGAGUGAUGAAAAUGUUGGGGUCGGAAAAAUCUGUUAUUAGGGAAGAACAUAUGUGGAAGUAGCUGUUGACAGCGUGACGGUACCAAGUCAGAAAGCCACGGCUAACUACGUG